Molecule: signal recognition particle RNA, 100 nt
Filed under: Chitinivibrionales bacterium
Lineage: Bacteria; Pseudomonadati; Fibrobacterota; Chitinivibrionia; Chitinivibrionales
Description: signal recognition particle sRNA small type
Rfam family: Bacterial small signal recognition particle RNA
About the family: The signal recognition particle (SRP) is a universally conserved ribonucleoprotein involved in the co-translational targeting of proteins to membranes.
Source: RNAcentral
GGCCAGGUUCUGCGCAACCAAGGGGCCGUGAACCCCGCCAGGCCCGGAAGGGAGCAACGGUAAGCGGAAACCCGGUGUGCCGCAGAGGUGCUUGGCCCCC